RNAcentral lists this unclassified non-coding RNA (2171 nucleotides) under Leishmania donovani. RNAcentral describes it as "gene:LdHU3.26.1130(CDS-product:hypothetical_prote in_conserved)". The record is from RNAcentral. Lineage: Eukaryota; Euglenozoa; Kinetoplastea; Trypanosomatida; Trypanosomatidae.
CUCGCUAUGUACGCCCGUCGCUACUGCUUCCUGCACCGCAUCCGCCACACUACACUGCGCAGGGCAUGGAGUUACAUCAGCAGCAGCAGCAACACUGCUGCGAGGCCUCAACUGCCGAUGAGGCAGUGGAGGGAGACGGGCAGAGCCGAACGGACGCUGCCGAGCACCACCCCAGCGUUCGCUUCUACCGUGGCAUGUGGAGCCUCACUCAACUAACGGAUCCUGUCUUCGACGACGUCAUCUCGAGUACCGACGGUAGCAACGGCGACAAGGCUGUCUCUGCUCCGGCAUCCGCAACGCCAGCUGAGGUGACUACCGGCAGCCCCUCGCUGCUGUCUCACGGCUCGCCACUCUCGGUGGUCGGCCUGCACCAGGCACUUCUCCCCCCAGCAGCCGUGAACGGGCUGGGCGAUGUGGCGGACGAGAACUACGCAUUGCAGCUAGCGUCGUCUGACGGGCUUGAGUUUCUGCGCCUCCACUGGCACGUGCUACUACCUUUGCUCUUCCCUUGUUGCCGCUGGGGUGACGAGGCGGGCGCGACUGACCCCGCCGUCUUGUGUUUUGGCCAAGACAACAGCAGCAGCAAGUGUAGCUCGCACGUGCAGCAAGACUUUUCCGGCUCCGAGGAAGGGGCAUCAGCCCCUUUUGAGAGUUCCUGCUCUGCCUCCGAGUUGUACGAGCUGCUGCUCCGCCGCCCCCUACUGGAGAGCGAUCUCGCCAUUGUCCGAGAACCUGGACUGAUGGAUCGUAUCUACUACAGCUAUGUGGUACUGCUCCGCUUCUUCGGAUGGCGCGUGCACGAGGAGGAGCGUGGUGUGCUGGACCGUCAUCGUGCCUGGCAGGAGCGGUACGCGCUGCUCGAGCUCUACCGGAUGCCCACCACCGCCGCCGCAACUACCCAGCUUGCCACAGGCCCAACUGCUGCAGGGACGCGCAGCCAUGUCGACGGCGACGACGUCAAGGGCAACAGCGUUUAUCAAGUGCGACGUGCUUGCCCGCCGCCACCUCCCACUUACCACUCCUUCAACUUUUACGAGUCGGGCGUUCCACGUGUGCUGCGCAGCCUUCUCGACAUUGGCUUUCUGCGCCUGGCUGUGCGGCUUGUGGAGUUUCUCUUGGAGGAGAUGGGUUACGGCCGUCUUCUGUUCCUGCUGCCGCUGGUUGAGGCCACCUUGCUGCCGAUACUCGUUCAGCAGCCGCACGUCGAGUCAAGCCACAAGACGCGGCUAAAGAAACGCCUGUACAGGCUCACUCACAGUGACUCGGAUUAGUGAGAGCGGGGUAGGGCCGCAGCCAUUCUCGGAUCGCGGGCGAGAGAGCGGCAUUAUUCGGAUUGCCCAUGCGCAGACUGCUGGAAUUCUCUGUGCACGUGUGCCUGCCCUUGGGUGCUCUGCUCACUCAUCCUGAUCUCUUUUUGGCCCCACAGCUGCAGCCAACGACCGUGCCAUGAACGCGGCGGUGCUGCACAGUAUGCGCGCAUGUGUUGUUGCGCACACACACGCAGAACAAGACGAAAAUGCCACAGCACUUGACGUUGGAGACGACGGGCACAGGAAUGGCCGCACGUGUGUGCGUGUGCGCAUUGAGGCGUUGUGUGAGCCACCGGUAGCGAAAGCUCCAUCACGCUUUCCUGUAUACGUGUGUGUGUGUGUGUGAAGGUCGGUGCUGUUUCCCACUCUUUGUGCAAGGCGGGAGAGGUAGGGGGAGGGAUGUGACGGGGGUGCUGACUCCCGGGCGUAGGAAUGUUGGCGUCGGGCGUUUCAUCGGGGUGGAGGGGGGGGCGCCAGAAUGGCGUCGUGACGUUGCGCUACUCGGCAUCUAUUCCUCUGCUUCUCGCCUCAUGCCGCAUCGCUGACUACACUUCUUCUCAUGGCUCUUCCCCACUCCCCCGCCUCUUCGGCCGCGAGCACAAACGCAGGCACAGCCAUGCCCGCCGGUAUGCAUUCAUCUGCUACUUACUCGUGCACAUGCCUUCUCUCUCGUCCUUCUUUGUGCGUGCGUGUAUGUGUGAGGAGGCGCUUCACCACAUACACGCGCACGCACACCAGUUACGAGACGGGCAGGCUCACAACGCAGCGCGCGAAGACACACGUUUGUAUCCCUACAAGCAAAGACCUUCUUUCUCAGUCUUCAGCUGCCCCUCCCCCUCCAUCUCCGUGCUUGUCUUGCAG